UACAGAGGUCUCGAGCGUUAGGCGGAAUCACUGGGCUUAAAGCGUGUGUAGGCGGGUCGUUAAGUACCUUGUGAAAUCCCAUGGCUCAACCAUGGAACUGCUUGGUAUACUGGCGAUCUUGUGCAACCUAGGGGCGAGCGGAACAGAUGGUGGAGCGGUGAAAUGCGUAGAUAUCAUCUGGAACGCCAAUGGUGAAAACGGCUCGCUGGGGGUUUGCAGACGCUGAGACACGAAAGCCAGGGGAGCGAACGGG
This 253-nucleotide ribosomal RNA is filed under the name uncultured bacterium. RNAcentral describes it as "partial 16S ribosomal RNA". It matches the Rfam family "Bacterial small subunit ribosomal RNA", at positions 524 to 776 of the family's 1533-position model. The record is from RNAcentral.